GCCGGGUGUGGUGGCGCAUGCCUGUAAUCCCAGCUACUCAGGAGGCUGAGGCAUGAGAAUUGCUUGAACCCGGGAGGCCGAGGUUGCAGUGAGCCAAGAUUGAGUCACUGCACUCCAGCCUGGGUGACAGAGCAAGGCUUCGUCUCAA
Molecule: non-coding RNA, 148 nt
Organism: Nomascus leucogenys (northern white-cheeked gibbon)
Lineage: Eukaryota; Metazoa; Chordata; Mammalia; Primates; Hylobatidae
Rfam family: Metazoan signal recognition particle RNA
About the family: The signal recognition particle (SRP) is a universally conserved ribonucleoprotein. It is involved in the co-translational targeting of proteins to membranes.
Source: Rfam